Molecule: ribosomal RNA, 492 nt
Filed under: uncultured bacterium
Lineage: Bacteria
Description: partial 16S ribosomal RNA
Rfam family: Bacterial small subunit ribosomal RNA
Source: RNAcentral
AGUGAACGCUGGCGGUAGGCCUAACACAUGCAAGUCGAACGGCAGCACAGUAAGAGCUUGCUCUUACGGGUGGCGAGUGGCGGACGGGUGAGGAAUACAUCGGAAUCUACUUUUUCGUGGGGGAUAACGUAGGGAAACUUACGCUAAUACCGCAUACGACCUACGGGUGAAAGCAGGGGAUCUUCGGACCUUGCGCGAUUGAAUGAGCCGAUGUCGGAUUAGCUAGUUGGCGGGGUAAAGGCCCACCAAGGCGACGAUCCGUAGCUGGUCUGAGAGGAUGAUCAGCCAAACUGGAAAUGAGACACGGUCCCGACUCCUAAGGGAGGCAGCAGUGGGGAAUAUUGGACAAUGGGCGCAAGCCUGAUCCAGCCAUACCGCGUGGGUGAAGAAGGCCUUCGGGUUGUAAAGCCCUUUUGUUGGGAAAGAAAAGCAGCAGGUUAAUACCCCGCUGUUCUGACGGUACCCAAAGAAUAAGCACCGGCUAACUUCGUG